UACGUAGGGUGCGAGCGUUAAUCGGAAUUACUGGGCGUAAAGCGUGCGUAGGCGGUUCGUUAAGUUCGUCGUGAAAGCCCCGGGCUCAACCUGGGAAUGGCGAUGGAAACUGGCGGGCUGGAGUAUGGCAGAGGGGGGUGGAAUUCCGCGUGUAGCAGUGAAAUGCGUAGAGAUGCGGAGGAACACCGAUGGCGAAGGCAGCCCCCUGGGCCAAUACUGACGCUCAUGCACGAAAGCGUGGGGAGCAAACAGG
RNAcentral lists this ribosomal RNA (253 nucleotides) under uncultured bacterium. RNAcentral describes it as "partial 16S ribosomal RNA". It matches the Rfam family "Bacterial small subunit ribosomal RNA", at positions 524 to 776 of the family's 1533-position model. The record is from RNAcentral.